CACAUCUUCCCCGCUCAGCAUUGCCUCCGGGCUCCUCUGGCUUUUCUUCGUUCUCGUCAGUUGUCUGAGGACCCUGCCAAUAAUGAUGAACUUCACUUUAAGCCUUUAAGGAGACUUCGAAACAGGAACCGAUGAAACAAGCGUUGGAAAAUAAGCCGAACAGAGAGCACUUGCAGAACGCACAGCAUCGAGGCCAAGAUGACAUGCUGCAAUCAGUCUCAUUUGCGGCCGAUCCUGCUCAGAGCUGCAAUCACCAAAUCCCGAAAGGACCAGCAUUUGAAACCCUAAUCCCGUGCGAUCACGCAGAUCUCUGUGGUGUCCAAUUUGUAGCAGAUCCUCCACUGCGUUCGCCAACAUUUGAACCAAAGUGUGUAAAAG
Molecule: long non-coding RNA, 378 nt
Filed under: Eucalyptus grandis
Lineage: Eukaryota; Viridiplantae; Streptophyta; Magnoliopsida; Myrtales; Myrtaceae
Description: long non-coding RNA (EGRA_LNC006097)
Source: RNAcentral